AAUGAGGUGCCUGAAUAAAGGGUUAUUUUGAUAGAAUAAAUUAUGUAAGACUUUUACCUUCAUUA
RNAcentral lists this transfer RNA (65 nucleotides) under Cucujoidea sp. 46 KM-2017. Its description in RNAcentral is "tRNA-Ile". The record is from RNAcentral. Lineage: Eukaryota; Metazoa; Arthropoda; Insecta; Coleoptera.